This 497-nucleotide ribosomal RNA is filed under the name uncultured bacterium. RNAcentral describes it as "partial 16S ribosomal RNA". It matches the Rfam family "Bacterial small subunit ribosomal RNA", at positions 28 to 507 of the family's 1533-position model. The record is from RNAcentral.
GAUGAACGCUGGCGGCGUGCCUAAUACAUGCAAGUCGAGCGAACGGACGAGAAGCUUGCUUCUCUGAUGUUAUCGGCGGACGGGUGAGUAACACGUGGAUAACCUACCUAUAAGACUGGGAUAACUUCGGGAAACCGGAGCUAAUACCGGAUGAUAUUUUGAACCGCAUGGUUCAAAAGUGAAAGACGGUCUUGCUGUCACUUAUAGAUGGAUCCGCGCUGCAUUAGCUAGUUGGUAAGGUAACGGCUUACCAAGGCAACGAUGCAUAGCCGACCUGAGAGGGUGAUCGGCCACACUGGAACUGAGACACGGUCCAGACUCCUACGGGAGGCAGCAGUAGGGAAUCUUCCGCAAUGGGCGAAAGCCUGACGGGGCAACGCCGCGUGAGUGAUGAAGGUCUUCGGAUCGUAAAACUCUGUUAUUAGGGAAGAACAUAUGUGUAAGUAACUGUGCACAUCUUGACGGUACCUAAUCAGAAAGCCACGGCUAACUACGUG